GAUGAACGCUGGCGGCGUGCCUAAUACAUGCAAGUCGAGCGAACAGACGAGGAGCUUGCUCCUCUGACGUUAGCGGCGGACGGGUGAGUAACACGUGGAUAACCUACCUAUAAGACUGGGAUAACUUCGGGAAACCGGAGCUAAUACCGGAUAAUAUAUUGAACCGCAUGGUUCAAUAGUGAAAGACGGUUUUGCUGUCACUUAUAGAUGGAUCCGCGCCGCAUUAGCUAGUUGGUAAGGUAACGGCUUACCAAGGCAACGAUGCGUAGCCGACCUGAGAGGGUGAUCAGCCACACUGGAACUGAGACACGGUCCAGACUCCUACGGGAGGCAGCAGUAGGGAAUCUUCCGCAAUGGGCGAAAGCCUGACGGAGCAACGCCGCGUGAGUGAUGAAGGUCUUCGGAUCGUAAAACUCUGUUAUUAGGGAAGAACAAAUGUGUAAGUAACUAUGCACGUCUUGACGGUACCUAAUCAGAAAGCCCCGGCUAACUACGUG
Molecule: ribosomal RNA, 497 nt
Filed under: uncultured bacterium
Lineage: Bacteria
Description: partial 16S ribosomal RNA
Rfam family: Bacterial small subunit ribosomal RNA
Source: RNAcentral